Molecule: ribosomal RNA, 253 nt
Filed under: uncultured archaeon
Lineage: Archaea
Description: partial 16S ribosomal RNA
Rfam family: Archaeal small subunit ribosomal RNA
Source: RNAcentral
CACCCGCAGCUCGAGUGGUGGUCACUUUUAUUGAGCCUAAAGCGUUCGUAGCCGGCUCUGUAAAUCUUCCGACAAAUUCUUCUGCUUAACGGAAGAUCCUCUGGAGAGACUGCAGAGCUAGGGACCGGGUGAGGUUGAAGGUACUUCUGGGGUAGGGGUAAAAUCCUGUAAUCCUGGAAGGACGACCGGUGGCGAAGGCGUUCAACUAGAACGGAUCCGACGGUGAUGAACGAUGGCUAGGGGAGCAAACAGG